Molecule: small nuclear RNA, 154 nt
Organism: Vigna unguiculata (cowpea)
Lineage: Eukaryota; Viridiplantae; Streptophyta; Magnoliopsida; Fabales; Fabaceae
Product: U1 spliceosomal RNA
Source: RefSeq, a predicted model, not a curated record
AUACUUACCCGAGAUAAAUAGAUGAUUAUGAAGGUCUAUGACCUAGGCUAGUGAUUUUCAUUGCAUUUAGAAAUAGUACUCCUCUAAAGUCUAUCCAAAUAACAAAGCCUAUGUCAUAAUUUGUGGUAGUGGGCUUUGCGUUUGCACACCCACU